CUAUAAUUCCUGCCCCGUCUGUCUCUCUCCGGCAUAUGACCACAGAUGUUGCGCCCACUAAACCAAACUUUCCAACUGUUCCCUUCUCCUAUAAUUCCUUCCCCUUCUGUCUCUCUCCGGCAUAUGACCACAGAUGUUGCACCCACUAAACCAAACUUUCCAACUGUUCCCUUCUCCUAUAAUUCCUUCCCCUUCUGUCUCUCUCCGGCAUAUGACCACAGAUGUUGCGCCCACUAAACAAAACUUUCCAACUGUUCCCUUCUAUAAUUCCUUCCCCUUCUGUCUCUCUCCGGCAUAUGACCACAGAUGUUGCGCCCACUAAACAAAACUUUCCAACUUCGAGCACAAAGAAAACUCCACUCUGUUAGCAUCAGUUUGAAUUUCACAUGGCUCUUUCGGUGACAUAUACGCCUCCGCGGUCUAGUGGUCAGCAUGCCUGGCUUCUACUCUGCGGGCCCAGGUUUGAAUCCCGGCCCGGGCAGUCGGCGUGCAGGUCACCCAGCUGUUCAUCCUCCCUCUGGGGCUGGUGGAUAAAUGGGUACCUGGGGAAACCUGGGGAAGGUAAACUGUGGUAACCCAGAUGUCACGCUGGUCCUGUGUCCCGGGGUAAUGGGCUCCCUCCCACCACAGGCUCAAGGGCCAAUGUUACGGAGAUGAGCACCGAGGCCACGCGCUGCUACAGUGUAUGCCCCAAACUUUACCUUUUCGAUGACAAAAUUAUGCCGGUGAUCAAGGUGGCCAAGCUCUCCUAUUCAGUGGCUUGAAGGGAAGUGUGUGUGGAUGGUUUGCUUGCUUACUGAUGUGGUUUGAUUUCCUCACCACAACUUUGCCAGAUUGCUGUACGCUGCCUUUAACCCGGUAGCAGCGACGGGCCAAAACCGCCCUGUGCCAUAUCUGAGAUCGCCGCGCGCGCCAAAUUUCAAAUGUCGCUAUUGAAUAUAACAAGUUUUCAGCCAUAAACUCAACAUAAUCAUCAUGUAUUAUAUAUGAAAACAUGCAGAAUUAAAUGGUGCACAUAAAGAAACAUAAAUUAACUGAUAAUUUUGAGAUGUAAGCAUGAAUAUAAAGAUAAGAUAAUUCGUAUAUUAGGUUAAGGGGGAAAGUUUUCAAUCUUGGAUGAAAAAAUAAGAAAAUAAAAAAAUCACAUGAAUCAGUUGUAGCAGUGCGGAGAUUAUAAAUACGUUGCCAGGCCUAAAACCCUGUUCUUUCCCUUUAAAAUUUAAAGGUCUCGUAGCACGUGGGCCCGCUAAGCCACGCCCCUCUCCCUACUCAUGUCUUUCUUGUUAGUUUUUAUGCGUUUUUACGCAUAAAAUGGAACAUUCUUUCUUCCUAAACAAGUGUACGAGACUUUUGGCUGUCGGUACUCAGCCCGCGUCGUGCCGGCAACACGACUCAGAACCUCCAUAGCCUCGUACGUGACUGUACGUACAGCCUUUCUCUUGCCCUUUUCCUCAAUCGGAGACAGUUUACGGCCUGCAGUGCUGUGUUGAAGCUCAACAAUGGGCAGAAAAAGCAGAAGGCAUGUUGAACUGAGUAAAAGAGCUACGGGAAGGUGGAAAAGUUACUGGCAAGAUACGAAAGAACGUACUAUAUCCCAGCCGCCUGCCCGACCACAAGCACCUCACGCUGCUGGUACUGCUCCCACCCUCACUCCCCGGCCUGUUGUCGAGAGAGAUGUGACUGCCGCAGAACUCAGACAUAGCCCAGUACCUGCAGAGCUCAGGGAGGCGAAGGAUAAAGACGAGGAGGAUAACAGACUCGUGAUAAUGUCUGUUCAUAGACCGAAACAGUUGCUUAGCAUGAUCAAGUGUGACUCGUGUGGCGGUGAAGUGGUGAAUUACAUCAAGGCCAAGUACUUUGAUUGUUAUGUGAGUGCUAAAUGCAGUGAGUGUAGGAUGAUGGUGUUACACAAUGGUACAGGUCACCCCUUUGUUAUGUGAGUGUAGGAUAAUGGUGUUACACAAUGGUACAGGUCACCCCUUUGUUAUGUGAGUGUAGGAUGAUGGUGUUACACAAUGGUACAGGUCACCCCUUUGUUAUGUGAGUGUAGGAUGGUGGUGUUACACAAUGGUACAGGUCACCCCUUUGUUAUGUGAGUGUAGGAUGAUGGUGUUACACAAUGGUACAGGUCACCCCUUUGUUAUGUGAGUGUAGGAUGAUGGUGUUACACAAUGGUACAGGUCACCCCUUUGUUAUGUGAGUGUAGGAUGGUGGUGUUACACAGUGGUACAGGUCACCCCUUUGUUAUGUGAGUGUAGGAUAAUGGUGUUACACAAUGGUACAGGUCACCCCUUUGUUAUGUGAGUGUAGGAUGCUGGUGUUACACAAUGGUACAGGUCACCCCUUUGUUAUGUGAGUGUAGGAUGGUGGUGUUACACAAUGGUACAGGUCACCCCUUUGUUAUGUGAGUGUAGGAUGGUGGUGUUACACAAUGGUACAGGUCACCCCUUUGUUAUGUGAGUGUAGGAUGAUGGUGUUACACAAUGGUACAGGUCACCCCUUUGUUAUGUGAGUGUAGGAUGAUGGUGUUACACAAUGGUACAGGUCACCCCUUUGUUAUGUGAGUGUAGGAUUAUGGUGUUACACAGUGGUACAGGUCACCCCUUUGUUAUGUGAGUGUAGGAUGAUGGUGUUACACAAUGGUACAGGUCACCCCUUUGUUAUGUGAGUGUAGGAUAAUGGUGUUACACAAUGGUACAGGUCACCCCUUUGUUAUGUGAGUGUAGGAUGAUGGUGUUACACAAUGGUACAGGUCACCCCUUUGUUAUGUGAGUGUAGGAUAAUGGUGUUACACAAUGGUACAGGUCACCCCUUUGUUAUGUGAGUGUAGGAUGAUGGUGUUACACAAUGGUACAGGUCACCCCUUUGUUAUGUGAGUGUAGGAUGAUGGUGUUACACAAUGGUACAGGUCACCCCUUUGUUAUGUGAGUGUAGGAUGCUGGUGUUACACAAUGGUACAGGUCACCCCUUUGUUAUGUGAGUGUAGGAUAAUGGUGUUACACAAUGGUACAGGUCACCCCUUUGUUAUGUGAGUGUAGGAUGAUGGUGUUACACAAUGGUACAGGUCACCCCUUUGUUAUGUGAGUGUAGGAUAAUGGUGUUACACAAUGGUACAGGUCACCCCUUUGUUAUGUGAGUGUAGGAUGAUGGUGUUACACAAUGGUACAGGUCACCCCUUUGUUAUGUGAGUGUAGGAUAAUGGUGUUACACAAUGGUACAGGUCACCCCUUUGGAGUGAAGUUGACCUAGGAAAGGACCUGACCACUGCAAGCAAACCCAACAUAGCAUAAUAAAGUAAAGAGCCUCUGUUUGUAGAAUUGUGUUCCUAAAUAUUGCAUUUAUCAAAGUAUGAUACAAAAAUGCAUUUUCCUCGGAAUCUUUUUUUUUUUUAACAUUUAAAAUUUAAUUUCUUGGCUUGUAAUCAACCGACCUUAAUUUUCUUUGUUGCAAAAUAAUCUUAAUGAAAAUGCCUAAAAAUAUGGUAAUUAAAAUGUCUCUAAAACUAAUAGUUUUUACCGAGCAAUUUUUAGACCCCUAAUUUUUUGAAAAAGAAAAUAACUAGUUUUGAUUUUUUAUAAUAUGUUUAUUAUUAAUGACAUGCAAUUUUGAAUUAACAGAUUAGUACAUUAGGGUGUCUUCUUUCUCUUAACGUAAAGGAAAUAACUUUAUGUUAUAUAGUUAACAUGAAAUUACAGUUUUUUCUAAUGUAGGUAAAAAACCUGAUUUAUUAUUUUUUGGAGAAAACUAUUUCACAGAUUUGAAAGCAAAACGCAGCGGUACCACAUAAUAAUGUCAUCCUUACUGUGUAAAAAA
Long non-coding RNA from Eriocheir sinensis (Chinese mitten crab), 3813 nucleotides. RefSeq lists it as uncharacterized. The transcript has 8 exons. The record is from RefSeq and is a predicted model, not a curated record. Lineage: Eukaryota; Metazoa; Arthropoda; Malacostraca; Decapoda; Varunidae.